Syngnathus acus (greater pipefish) is the source of this 234-nucleotide long non-coding RNA. RefSeq lists it as uncharacterized. NCBI's taxonomy places the organism in Eukaryota, Metazoa, Chordata, Actinopteri, Syngnathiformes, Syngnathidae. The record is from RefSeq and is a predicted model, not a curated record. The transcript has 3 exons.
UCCUUGGUCUUAAUUUCUUCUUCUUAUCGUGUCUACAAGGCAGUUAGUUACAAGGCUUGGCUAGAUGUGGUUCAGCCAUAGCUGAACACAUUUCUGUUCCUUCUCAUUAAACUCUGCUAAGUCCGAUGCUGUGCAGGGAUGUUCCAGCAGGGGGCAUAUGAGGAGGUGUUGCAUGGUCUGUGGUUCAGUGCCACAGUCACACUCAGCGUUCUGAUCAUUCAGAUGUCCCCAUUU